GCGUAAUGAAAGUAAGACAGGGGCUUGUCUCUUGUUGAGAUAGGGAAGGGAAACCCUACGGGAGUAAGUACCGGCACCAUCGACCUAUCAGGAUUUUAUUGAAAGAUUUGAGUAAGAGUACAUCUGUUGGGACCCGAAAGAGUGUGAACUAUGGGUGGCUAGGAUGAAGCCAGAGGAAACUCUGGUGGAGGUCCGAAGCAAUACUGACGUGCAAAUCGUUUGUCAAAGUUGCCUAUAGGGGCGAAAGACUAAUCGAACAUUCUAGUAGCUGGUUCCCUCCGAAGUUUCCCUCAGGAUAGCUGGAACUUAAUAUGUAAACAGUUUUAUCAGGUAAAGCGAAUGAUUAGAGGCCUUGGAGGUGAAACACCUUCAACCUAUUCUCAAACUUUAAAUAGGUAAGAACUAGAAGUUACUUGAUUUUCUUCUGAACUUCUAGGACAGAAUGGAAAGUUCUUAGUGGGC
This 462-nucleotide ribosomal RNA is filed under the name uncultured eukaryote. RNAcentral describes it as "eukaryotic LSU rRNA". It matches the Rfam family "Eukaryotic large subunit ribosomal RNA", at positions 714 to 1131 of the family's 3401-position model. The record is from RNAcentral.